Molecule: ribosomal RNA, 253 nt
Filed under: uncultured bacterium
Lineage: Bacteria
Description: partial 16S ribosomal RNA
Rfam family: Bacterial small subunit ribosomal RNA
Source: RNAcentral
UACGAGCGGUCCAACCGUUAUUCGGAAUCACUGGGCUUACAGAGUUCGUAGGCGGUCCAGAAAGUGGGGUGUGAAAGCCCUCGGCUCAACCGAGGAACUGCGCUCCAAACUACUGGGCUAGAGGAAGAUAGAGGUGAGCAGAACUGAUGGUGGAGCGGUGAAAUGCGUUGAUAUCAUCAGGAAUACCGGAGGCGAAGGCGGCUCACUGGGUCUUUUCUGACGCUGAGGAACGAAAGCUAGGGGAGCAAACGGG